This 319-nucleotide ribosomal RNA is filed under the name uncultured eukaryote. RNAcentral describes it as "partial 18S ribosomal RNA". It matches the Rfam family "Eukaryotic small subunit ribosomal RNA", at positions 1470 to 1796 of the family's 1831-position model. The record is from RNAcentral.
CCCUUAGAUGUUCUGGGCAGCACGCGCGCUACAAUGGUCUUCGCAAACGGAUGCAUUCUCGAAGGAGAAUGCCAAUCUUGGAAUCUAUGCCUUGGUCGGGACAGUUGCUUGCAAUUCUUCGACUCGAACCAGGAAUUCCUUGUAAUCGUGAUUCAUCACAUCACGAUGAAUACGUCCCUGCCCUUUGUACACACCGCCCGUCGCUCCUACCGAUCGAAGAGUUAGGUGAAUUGUUUUGAUCGAUAAGAUUUGACUAUGGUCAACUCUCGUUGUGAAAUUCUGUGAAUCUGACUGUUUAGAGGAAGGAAAAGUCGUAACA